UUGUAAGACUGAAAUUUGAAA
This is a non-coding RNA of Caenorhabditis elegans, 21 nucleotides long. The record is from Ensembl. NCBI's taxonomy places the organism in Eukaryota, Metazoa, Nematoda, Chromadorea, Rhabditida, Rhabditidae.